AAAAGUAAAUAAUAAUAAUAAUAAUUUGGAAAGCAUAACCUAUAUUUGAGCAUUCAAGCAAAAGCAACGUCAUUAAGUACUACUUUCAGGGUUCAGUAAUCAGGAUCUCUUGGAAGGUUCAAAUACACCACUUGUAAUUUAGUUUCUAAUGCUAGAAACAGGCUCAGUACCAUUACAGCUUGCAUUAAAUUUAUUCGAUCAAUUUAUAGGUCUUGAUAACUUAACCAUUAUGCUAACUUCCAUCUUCCCAAGGAUCCAAGUCAAGCUUUAUAACCAUGCGUACCAUCGUCACCUACAUUUGUUCGUUUACCUCUAAUUAGCAAGUUUGCUGAACAUAAUUGCUUGAUCAUAUCAAAACAGUUUGAAAGAAGAAUGCAGCUAUAGAAUAACAUAACAACUAAACCUUAAUCUCAAACUAGGUGGGUCAGCUAUAUAUGGAUCCUUUUUUGCUAUUAAGUUCUGUUUGAAACUAAUUCCGCAUUAAUAUAAAAAAUAGUGAAUCUUUUGAUACUACUUCCUUCUACAUUAUUUUAGAUCUAUCGUUCUUUCCAUUAUCACUCCUUCCCGUGCUAGGGCAUUCAAUAUUCUAUGUUGAAUACAACCAAACCAUCUUGACUCUCUCAUUUUAAUUCCAAUGUAUGCUAUAUGCACUUUCUGGCAAAUUUGGUUCGAUAGGAAUGUGGAGUUAAGCCACCAGGCCCAAGUACAUUCAGGGUGCAUUCUAGAUAAGGCAAAGGAGCAGGUGCAAAGAAGGUAGGAGAGCAACUGAAUUCCAAUAUGGAGCUGUAGGAAAGAAUGGGAGGAAUCAUUGGAGAAAAGAAUGGAUCAAUGAACAAGUGGAUUGAAGAAUUUUGUAAAAAGGAAGUUAUUCCUGCAGCAAGUUUAUUCUGUUGUGGCCUUAGACCUACACUUUCUGUUUGGCAAAUACCUUUUCUAUUUGGAGCUAUUGUCGGCUAUUUUGCUCAUCUCUUAUCGUUCCUUGUAUGAACAAAUUGAAUGAAAAAGCCCUUAUUAUGGAAUUCUCUAUUUCAAUCUUACUUUCCGGCUUGAAUUGAUACAAGUUCCCAACUUUUAACAAAUUAGUUCGACUUGCCAGAUCCACUAAAUGACCACAACGAGAAUGGAGGAACAUGUGGAGCAAGUUAAAGGGAACUUAACCAGCCUAGGAGAAGCUCUAGUGUCUCUCAAAGUUGAACAGGAUCAAAGAUUCAGUAAACUUGAAAAUCUGCUUACCUCGAUGGCGAGGGGGAAGGUAGCAGCCAAUGACAACGAAGCUCCCAAUCAGAGCCCUCAAUAGUAGCACAUUGGUGAUUAUUCGACCACUCGGAUGGGUGCUCGAGCUCUGCUUCUAGAGGAAGCUCCGUUCACAGCAAAGAAUGUAGAUAUGCCCAGUUUUGAGGGUACAUAUCCUAUGGGGUGGAUAGCUCAUGCAGAGCAGUAUCUUGAGAUUAACGGAGUGAAGGAUGAAUUCAAAAUCUCCUUGGCAUGAUUGGUGCCCCUCUCCACUGGCUUUGUUGGCUCUUCCAAUGAAUGCCCAAUUUAUCAUGGGAGCACUUAAAACAGAAGCUAUUACAACGUUAUGGAGGCAAUAUCGCUAAGAACCUAUAUGAGUACCAGGCGGCAGUCCAUCAGCUGGGAACGCUGGCAGAGUGUAUAGUUGACUUUGUGUUAAGGGCAGCUUAGGUGAUAGAGCUUUCAGACUCUCACUGUCUAGGUUACUUCCUCAAUAGUUUAUAGGAAGAUAUAAGGGUGAGGCUUAGGUCUAAUGAGACUGUCAAUCUCUAUCGAAUGAUGAAAGCGGCAAUAGAAACAGAAAGAGAGCUCCAGUUUGCAGCAAGGAUCAAAGGGUUUUCAUGUCAGUAAGGAAGAUGACAAUAUGUUAUAGGCCGAGGACUAUUUCUUUUGGGAUGAGCCUAGUUCUUACUAUUGGAACUAAAAUGAGCUAUGGAAAUGCUAGCCCACAAAACACCUACCCACAACAUUUCGAAGGCCUGCCUACCAAGCCUCCAGAUGAAGCCCAACAAGGGUUUAGUAAAACUAAUAUACAACCAGUGUCUUCCUCAGAGUUUCAAGCACCCUCCACCAGAUCACGAGCAAUAAGACAAUACUCCCACCAGGAAUAUCAAAAAUUGUGAGUUGUUUCCGCUGUAAACAACCAUAUUCUCCCCUUCAUGAGUGUCCCAAUAAGUCUCUCUGUGCUCUCAUUGUUGGCAAAGAUGAGACUUUAACUGAAGAGAGCUGGACAUCAUGGAAGAGUAAUAGACAACAACAAUCAACAAUGCUCAUUUCACUGAACUAGAGCUGUAGUUAUUUUCUAGUGGCGGAAUUUCUCAGUUGAGGACAAUGAAGUAGAGGGGAUCUAUUACGAUGAACCCAAUUACAGUGAUGAUAGGCAGCGAAGCGACCCACAAUUUUGUGUCACACAAGCUGGUCCAACACCUAUAGCUUCAAGUAAGUCCCACUGCUAAUUUUGGUGUUUGACUGGGGAAUGGAUAUAAGGCUCAAUCUAAAGGAGUAUGCUGCAAACUGAAGUUGGAUUUACGUAACAUGCAAGUGGAGGCAAAUAGUUGUGUUUCUUUUUGGGGGUGUUGAUUUGAUUCUGGGAGUAGCUUGGUUAGAGACUUUGGGUGAGUUGUUGAUUAAUUGGUAGAAAAUGGCAAUGAGUUCUAUCAAUAAAGGAGAAAGAUUUUACCUCAAAGGGAAACAAUGCAUUGUAAAUCUUGUAAUCAUUGGAAAUCCCUCAAACCAAUGCAUUCAUACCUUCUCAGAUCUUGAUUUCAACUUCCUUAUCCAAAUCUACUUGAGGUGUACAACUGUACCACAACUUAUAACCCAUGCUACCAAUUUCUCUAGUCUUUUCCUCAAACUAUGUCAACAACCCUCCUCCUCUUUAAAGCAUCCGCAAGCUCCAUUAACUUUCCAAUCAGUGAUCCUAUGCUUCAACUACCUAGACAGACCCUACUCUACUGAAUUAGUUUUUCUACCCUCACUCAUCCAUAUCGUCCAUCAAAAUGCGGGAACCUUUGCAUAUUUUGCAUCACAUCUGGGUACUGAUGUGGCAGAACAAGAAUUCAGCUAUCACCUUCAAAAUCAGAAAUUGAAGCAAUAUUCUAUCAUAUAUCCAACUUAACACUUUAACAGAUAGUCAAGCUCAAUUGCAAGUAGAACAAAAUAUCAUCACUGUACAACUCUAAAUUCAUCAACUAUCCAACAGAGAGAACAUUAUUUCAAAGACAAUCCAUAUAACUA
This 3249-nucleotide unclassified non-coding RNA is filed under the name Hevea brasiliensis (rubber tree). The record is from RNAcentral. Lineage: Eukaryota; Viridiplantae; Streptophyta; Magnoliopsida; Malpighiales; Euphorbiaceae.